GUUUCCAUAGUGCAGUGGUCAGCACGUUCGCCUUACACGCGAAAGGUCCCUGGUUCAAACCCAGGUGGAAACA
Molecule: non-coding RNA, 73 nt
Organism: Loxodonta africana (African savanna elephant)
Lineage: Eukaryota; Metazoa; Chordata; Mammalia; Proboscidea; Elephantidae
Source: the annotation of a RefSeq genome assembly